GAUGAACGCUGGCGGCGUGCCUAAUACAUGCAAGUCGAGCGAACAGACGAGGAGCUUGCUCCUCUGACGUUAGCGGCGGACGGGUGAUUAACACGUGGAUAACCUACCUAUAAGACUGGGAUAACUUCGGGAAACCGGAGCUAAUACCGGAUAAUAUAUUGAACCGCAUGGUUCAAUAGUGAAAGACGGUUUUGCUGUCACUUAUAGAUGGAUCCGCGCCGCAUUAGCUAGUUGGUAAGGUAACGGCUUACCAAGGCAACGAUGCGUAGCCGACCUGAGAGGGUGAUCGGCCACACUGGAACUGAGACACGGUCCAGACUCCUACGGGAGGCAGCAGUAGGGAAUCUUCCGCAAUGGGCGAAAGCUUGACGGAGCAACGCCGCGUGAGUGAUGAAGGUCUUCGGAUCGUAAAACUCUGUUAUUAGGGAAGAACAAAUGUGUAAGUAACUAUGCACGUCUUGACGGUACCUAAUCAGAAAGCCACGGCUAACUACGUG
RNAcentral lists this ribosomal RNA (497 nucleotides) under uncultured bacterium. RNAcentral's name for it is "partial 16S ribosomal RNA". It matches the Rfam family "Bacterial small subunit ribosomal RNA", at positions 28 to 507 of the family's 1533-position model. The record is from RNAcentral.